AGGUGCUGGGGUCAGUUCUGAUAGCUGCUUUGACAUGUUAUGAAGAUGAUAUAAUUAGGAGUCGAUACCGAAUCAUGGUGGAAAUAUUGAAUGAAAAUGACAACAUGCCAUAUUUCCUUGAAGACACAAUUCAACCACGAUAUAUAAUUGCUGACUGUAAACUCGAUGGUGUUCACAGUAAAAGCUAGAGAUGGUGAUGGAGACACGAUCACUUACAUGACCGACAAAUCUACAGCCGAUGCCAGCUAUUUUAGGAUUGAUCUGCCCAACAGCGGGAUGGUG
Molecule: long non-coding RNA, 282 nt
Organism: Sinocyclocheilus anshuiensis
Lineage: Eukaryota; Metazoa; Chordata; Actinopteri; Cypriniformes; Cyprinidae
Exons: 4
Source: RefSeq, a predicted model, not a curated record